GUGGUCAACCUUUAUUGAUGGAUAUUUGUUAUCUUUGGUCUUGAUUUUCCCUUUAUAUUAUGUUUUCCUGGCUCAUUAUAUGUGUCUUUUGUUGCAAACUAUCUCAAAUCCUAUAUGGGAAGAGCUAAAGUGGAUUCAAAGUUCUGAAGAAUGAAUGACUUCUAAAGAAUAAGUCUUCCUUGGGGAGUGAAAUAGUUUGCAGUUUGUUGUAGUCCCACUAAACCUCCUUUGUUGAUCUUGAAAUAUUUCAUCAUACAGAAGUGCAUGUAGAAUAGUAUCUCAAAUAAAUACCCUGCAAGCACCACCAAGCAUAACACAUCUUAAUAUUUUCCACAUUUGUUUCAGAUUUUAAAAAUAACACAUUGGAAAUAGAGAUGGAGCCUCUGUGUACCCUCUUCCCCUCCCAAAAGGCUGUCAUCUUUGCCAAAGGUUGGAUGAAAAUGGAGCCAGGAGUUGAAGGCCAGAAGUUCUCCACACCUACCUCACACAUCCAGCCUCUGGGUAUUUACAUUUUCUGCUACAUUGCAAACCAGUGUAACUAACUCGGCUUCUCUGUCUUCUGUCACUGUGAAAUACCACCUUUCCAUGGCAAUAGGGAUACAUUUUCCUUUGAAUCCGUGCAUGUGUGUGUGUGUGUUUGUGUGUGUGUGUGUGUGUGCGCGCAUGCACAUGUACUGCUGAGAAUUGAACCCAUCGCCUUGCACAUGCUAGACAAGCACUCUACCACUGAGCUAUACUCCUGGACCCCAAGUCUUUUUAGAACAGGAUGCAGCAGGAGUUGCCCAUCAGAGGAGGAGGUUCAGAACCC
This 808-nucleotide long non-coding RNA is filed under the name Heterocephalus glaber (naked mole-rat). RNAcentral describes it as "lncRNA (ENSHGLG00000040989.1)". The record is from RNAcentral. Lineage: Eukaryota; Metazoa; Chordata; Mammalia; Rodentia; Bathyergidae.